AGCGGCAGGCUUAAUACAUGCAAGUCGAGGGGUAACAGAAAGUGCUUGCACUUUGCUGACGACCGGCGCACGGGUGCGUAACGCGUAUGCAACCUACCUUUCACUGGGGGAUAGUCAAGAGAAAUUUUGAAUAAUACCCCAUACGAUCUUUUAAUAGCAUUAUUUUUAGAAGAAAAUUCCGAUGGUGAAAGAUGGGCAUGCGUCCUAUUAGUUUGUUGGUAAGGUAACGGCUUACCAAGACUUCGAUAGGUAGGGGCCCUGAGAGGGGGACCCCCCACACUGGUACUGAGACACGGACCAGACUCCUACGGGAGGCAGCAGUAAGGAAUAUUGGACAAUGGAGGAAACUCUGAUCCAGCCAUGCCGCGUGCAGGAAGACGGCCUUAUGGGUUGUAAACUGCUUUUAUACAGGAAGAAACCUUUGUACGUGUACAAAGCUGACGGUACUGUAAGAAUAAGGAUCGGCUAACUCCGUGCCAGCAGCCGCGGUAAUACGGAGGAUCCAAGCGUUAUCCGGAAUUAUUGGGUUUAAAGGGUCCGUAGGUGGUUUAUUAAGUCAGAGGUGAAAUACUGCAGCUUAACUGUAGAAAUGCCUUUGAAACUGAUAGACUUGAGUUAUUGUGAAGUAGUUAGAAUGUGUAGUGUAGCGGUGAAAUGCAUAGAUAUUACACAGAAUACCGAUUGCGAAGGCAGAUUACUAACAAUAUACUGACACUGAUGGACGAAAGCGUGGGUAGCGAACAGGAUUAGAUACCCUGGUAGUCCACGCCGUAAACGAUGGUCACUAGCUGUUUGAUGCACAUUGGUGUGUUGAGUGGCUAAGCGAAAGUGAUAAGUGACCCACCUGGGGAGUACGCUCGCAAGA
RNAcentral lists this ribosomal RNA (865 nucleotides) under uncultured Flavobacteriaceae bacterium. RNAcentral describes it as "bacterial SSU rRNA". It matches the Rfam family "Bacterial small subunit ribosomal RNA", at positions 38 to 893 of the family's 1533-position model. The record is from RNAcentral. Lineage: Bacteria; Pseudomonadati; Bacteroidota; Flavobacteriia; Flavobacteriales; Flavobacteriaceae.